GCGAGAGUGGCGGAAUUGGAAGACGCGCUGGACUUAGGAUCCAGUACUAUAAGUUAGUAUGGGGGUUCGAGUCCCCCCUCUCGCA
This 85-nucleotide transfer RNA is filed under the name Caldifarciminota bacterium. Its description in RNAcentral is "tRNA-Leu". It matches the Rfam family "tRNA". Rfam says of the family: Transfer RNA (tRNA) molecules are approximately 80 nucleotides in length. Their secondary structure includes four short double-helical elements and three loops (D, anti-codon, and T loops). The record is from RNAcentral. RNAcentral also lists the same sequence under 2 other names. Lineage: Bacteria; Pseudomonadati; Caldifarciminota.